ACAGUACAAACUGAUCAAGCCAGGGCCGAGGCCCGGAGCCGGGUCACGGAAGUGACAGUGGAAUCACACAUCCACGGGACAGU
This 83-nucleotide non-coding RNA is filed under the name human gut metagenome. RNAcentral describes it as "NiCo riboswitch". It matches the Rfam family "NiCo (Nickel/Cobalt) riboswitch aptamer". The record is from RNAcentral.